RNAcentral lists this unclassified non-coding RNA (248 nucleotides) under Hevea brasiliensis (rubber tree). The record is from RNAcentral. Lineage: Eukaryota; Viridiplantae; Streptophyta; Magnoliopsida; Malpighiales; Euphorbiaceae.
GAUUUCCCUUGUGAAUUCACCGCAGGGGCAGUGCUCUGGAGAUGGAUCAGUUAGCUUGAAUGUUCUACCAUUUCUCACCAUGAAUGGGGGGCAUGCCGUGCUCACAAAUGUUAUUUUUAUAAUGGUAUGACUAGUAUCAUUCCACCAAUGAACUUUCACCUUUUCACGAUCAACAAAAGGUAGAGUGAUCAUAAUCACGUAUCCUUCCGAGUCCUCGUAUAUAACUUUUGCAGCAACGGCUGGCCCAU